CACGCCGUAAACGAUGAGUGCUAGGUGCAUCGGGUAUUGACCCCUGAUGUGCCGCAGCUAACGCGUUAAGCACUCCGCCUGGGGAGUACGGUCGCAAGACUAAAACUCAAAGGAAUUGACGGGGGCCCGCACAAGCGGUGGAGCAUGUGGUUCAAUUCGACGCAACGCGCAGAACCUUACCUGGGUUAAAUCCACUAGAAUGUUUCAGAGAUGAGACGGUGCCCGCAAGGGAGCUAGUGAGACGGUGC
RNAcentral lists this ribosomal RNA (248 nucleotides) under uncultured bacterium. Its description in RNAcentral is "partial 16S ribosomal RNA". It matches the Rfam family "Bacterial small subunit ribosomal RNA", at positions 796 to 1041 of the family's 1533-position model. The record is from RNAcentral.